This 350-nucleotide unclassified non-coding RNA is filed under the name Homalolepis insignis. RNAcentral describes it as "partial miscellaneous RNA". Lineage: Eukaryota; Viridiplantae; Streptophyta; Magnoliopsida; Sapindales; Simaroubaceae. The record is from RNAcentral.
GCUUACCCCUCGAAGGGAAUUCGAUGGUUUCGGUGUCCCCAUCCGCCUUGCACCCCUUGGGGGCGUGGGGUGGACGCGAGGCGGGCUCCGUGAUCCAGGCGUGCCUCACGGUUUGUCGUGUGGCCGUUGUGGUUCAUGGAGUCUUUGCCCGUUCUCUCGGAUGCGGAAUGUCACGCGUGGGCGUGGGGCCUCGGCCUUGUUUCGUCCAAGCUAAGCAUUCGUCCCUCGACGCRAACGACCGUCGCGCUCGUCUUGACCGUCUCGGGCGUCCUCCCACGCGGGGCGCCCGGAGUGUGGCUCAUGCGGGCGUCGGCGUCGCGAAGGAAUGCUACCUGGUUGAUCCUGCCAGU